CCAAGUGGCAACGCCUGUCUGAGUGCGCCCUGGCUGCCUCUUCCUAAAGCUUCGGGCCUCUGGGAAUGUCAGGAGGGGAGAAAUCAGCUUCGGGGGCGAAAGGGGGAGUACCAACAGACUAGAGAGAGCCUUUUCCCAUUUCUCUGGGCACCGGGAGGACCUCUGGCAGAGACCUGGCCACCCAGCGCGCGCACGGACCCCGCGCGCAGUCCCCGAGACCGAGUUCUGUGAACCCGAGGAGGGUUGCAAAUUAGCCCCGAGGGAUUCUCCGGCCGCGCAGCUAGCUGCCGCUGAUUUGCACCGCUCGUUGCCUGGCGGGGGGUCCGAGGUGUGGGAGGAUAAACCAACACCAUCUCUCUCCUGGAGUGCUCUCACUACCAAGCCCUUCCGACUAAGAUUCAGAAAGGAUGAGCUUUGGUGAGAACUUGGCUCCGUCUUCCCCUGAACGCUGACAUGGGGGGCCGGAAGACAUUUUAGCUGGGAGACUUCGGGGUUCUUUUCACCUUUCGACUCUCCUAAGGGAAGAAAGACCUUUGAGUGGUGUAGAAGGUUCCGCUCCCUCAGCCCCACCCACACCACCAAUACAUUGAAGAGAGCAAUCUGUUAGCUUUAGGAUAAAUCGGACAGUGUAGUCAGCUCAGGUGGAUGAAGCAGAAACACGACUUAAUGAGGAGUCAGCCUCGUUUUUAUCCAGUGUUGAAAUGAGGUCCUGGUUCAUUCUCCUCUAAUCGUAUUUCCAAAGCACUAGACCAACAAAGGCUUAGUUGUCAAGAUAUACACACAUACACACAUACAUGCAUAUGUGGCAUUCAUGGGGAAAGGAAAACACCCAGAAGAGAAGAGGAUGCCACCAAAGCACAAGGUGGAGACUUUUCCUAAGCAUAUUCAUCUCCAUCACGGAGGUCUCUUGAAGGGGCUGUGAGGGUUGGGAAAAGCAGAGAAUGGAACUCCAUGGAGGCAUUUCCUAGCCUCCCCGUGGGGAGUAAGGAACUUUCCAAGGGAAAAGUGAGAGGCAAGAAGACUUACUGAGCUGGAUAAGGGUUUACAGGGGUUGGAGGGGCACUUUGUGUUGUAUAAGUACACAUGGCAAACUCAGUUUGGAUCUUUGCUCACCUAGGUAUUACAGUGGUUCAUUAGGUGAUUAUGAGUGUUUCCCAGGCUGGUCCUAAGACAGCCAGAGACUCGAUGAAUGGAUAAUGUGCAGCCUGUGAGAAGGGACUCCAGGCUCCCAAGUGCAGAGGUCAUUACUCUGGACACACCUUUUUCUC
Manis javanica (Malayan pangolin) is the source of this 1268-nucleotide non-coding RNA. The record is from RefSeq and is a predicted model, not a curated record. NCBI's taxonomy places the organism in Eukaryota, Metazoa, Chordata, Mammalia, Pholidota, Manidae.